This is a long non-coding RNA of Brassica napus (rape), 1219 nucleotides long. RefSeq lists it as uncharacterized. The transcript is spliced from 2 exons. NCBI's taxonomy places the organism in Eukaryota, Viridiplantae, Streptophyta, Magnoliopsida, Brassicales, Brassicaceae. The record is from RefSeq and is a predicted model, not a curated record.
AUUUGUAACAAAAAUAAUCAUAUCAUCGAUUCGAUCUAUAUUUUUUUAAUACAAUCAGUUAUAUUACGACUCAUCUAAAAUAUAUAACACUAAUUAUAAGAAAAACAAAUAUCAAAUGUAUAAAAAUGUAUAAACCAAAAUCCUCGUGGAUGCGCAGAUCAAUUUCUAACUGGUGUUACAGAUGUUUAUUUGUGUAUUUUAUUGGGAUUUGAAUAUUUUGUAUACUUGUAUGAGAUUCGGUUUGGAUAAAACUCAAAAUCCAAAAUACUGUAAAACAAGAUCUAAGAGGAUAUUUAUAAUGGAUUCAAUUCGAUUUAGAUUCACUUUUUGGCGUCAGUCCAAUUCAGAUUUUGGACUCUCUCUUUGUCCACCCCUCGUGCAUUAAUUAAAUAUACAUGAAGCAAAUAAUUCUUGGUUAGAGAUUAUUUGUUCUAGUAAAAUUGUUGGUAGUUGACAAAUACUAAUGGUUUAAUGGAAAUCAAAGUUUUAAACAAACUUAACAGAUAAUAUGUAUACUGACCGAAAAGGAGCUCUCUUUCUCUAUAAAAACAAAUCCUUUCCUUUUUCUCCACAAAAAAAAACUUCAAUUAUCUAAUUCAAUGUCUGACUCCGGCUGCUCACAUAGAGCCUGAGUCGGGUGUAGCUUUUAUUUUGUCUUAGUGUUUCAAUCAAUAUUGUUGCAUGUCGAUUUUUCAGCCAGAAACUGUAGAUCGUGAUAUGUUUAUGUUCUGAUCGGUUGGAUUUUAUCUUGUCUCGAGAUUGAUUUUGGUAGGUGGGAGGUGAUUUACUCCAUGUCUUUUACCCAGCUUCAUUCGUGUCAAUUUAUGUCACUAGAUUCAAUUUGGCCGGUUCCAAUUAACGCUUAUGGAACUACAUGUUAUGUUGCUCUGGGAUUUGAAGCUUGGUUCUACUCAGCGUGCACUAUUCACUAUGGGAAGUUUCUGGUUCGAGUUAUCUUUUUUAAUAGUAGUUUGGAGAUUAAGAAUCAUGUUUCUUAGGAGCUUUCUUCCUUGUCUUCAUUCUAUGUGCUUUAUUUUCCUUUGGUUUUUUUUUGUUUUAAAAUCGUCAUGUUUUGGCUCGGGGGAUUGUUUAUCAUCCGCUGAUUUUGGACUCCUAGGGUUAUUUUUAACUUGUCGGUUUUGGGUUUGAUCUUGUGUGUUGAUCUUCUGUUUGAUUACAAUGUAUGCUCUUGUAUAUUUCAAUUUAAUGUGAAUAUAAU